UACGAAGGGGCUAGCGUUGUUCGGAAUUACUGGGCGUAAAGCGCACGUAGGCGGACAUUUAAGUCAGGGGUGAAAUCCCAGAGCUCAACUCUGGAACUGCCUUUGAUACUGGGUGUCUAGAGUAUGGAAGAGGUGAGUGGAAUUCCGAGUGUAGAGGUGAAAUUCGUAGAUAUUCGGAGGAACACCAGUGGCGAAGGCGGCUCACUGGUCCAUUACUGACGCUGAGGUGCGAAAGCGUGGGAGCAAACAGG
Molecule: ribosomal RNA, 251 nt
Filed under: uncultured bacterium
Lineage: Bacteria
Description: partial 16S ribosomal RNA
Rfam family: Bacterial small subunit ribosomal RNA
Source: RNAcentral